RNAcentral lists this long non-coding RNA (478 nucleotides) under Nicotiana tabacum (common tobacco). RNAcentral describes it as "long non-coding RNA (NTAB_LNC004329)". The record is from RNAcentral. Lineage: Eukaryota; Viridiplantae; Streptophyta; Magnoliopsida; Solanales; Solanaceae.
ACAAAUUAGCGGAAAAUAUCCAAAAAACACUGUUCCAUUAAAAUUUUCUAAAACUCUUGAAGAUUUUUUAUUUCUGAAACAAUCCAUAGAUAAUCGGAGGUUUGAAAUGGCUUAAACCGGUUGGUUUCAAGUGUUUAGGUUCGAGUUUUUGGUUGCAUUUGAUUACUGGACAUUAUUGGAUCCUUCUGCUGGUUGGAGUUUGGUUCAAAACUGGUUUUCCUUCCGUUAUUUUUGGGCUGUGUUGUUGCUGUGUUGUUCAGCUGCUGACCUUUUGCUGUUUAUUUCAUUUUCCAGGUACAUUUUACACUCCACCUCAUGUGUAAACUGAUUUGAUGAAUGAAGAUGGAAAUUCUGCAAUUUCAAUAUGUUUUCAGCCUUCUACUAUGAAUUUAACCUUGUUACUGUUUCAUUUAUGGGUUCUACAACUUAGAUCAUUGCCCUUUUGUAAUUAAUUUUAAUCUGAGUAAAUGUUUUGCGA